RNAcentral lists this long non-coding RNA (2217 nucleotides) under Gadus morhua (Atlantic cod). Its description in RNAcentral is "lncRNA (ENSGMOG00000023022.1)". Lineage: Eukaryota; Metazoa; Chordata; Actinopteri; Gadiformes; Gadidae. The record is from RNAcentral.
GUUUACAGACCUGUACGAAUCAGAAGACAUGAUUGAUCUAUACGUUUUUCAACCCCUUUGGAAUAUUGUAAGUAUCAGAAUCAUUUUGAUGGUAAAAAGCCUUAAUUUGACCCUCCUUCAACAUAUCUUGAACUAUGCUGUAAAACACCAGUAGCUUGGAACCCACAGUUGAACCAAUGUAUUAUGGCAUGUCUGGAAGAACAAUCCUAAAAGUUGAUCAAAAAAUAAUCAAUGUUAAAUCAAAUUAGUUCACAUACAUUGUUGAUUAGUAUGACCACUUAUCUUCAUCAUAAAACACGAUACCUAAAUAAGUGCAUCCUUCUCACAUGUCUCAUUGCUACGGAUUUGCCCUAGCCAUUCCAUGUACACACAGUUUUUCUGCAGGACAUUUGCAAAGAGCUGGUCCAAACUGAACCACAGAACAAACUUCCCUCCCUUUUACUCCCCUCCCUCCAGUUUGUCAAUGGGAGACUACGUUUAAAAUGUAACCCCACCUGAAAUCCAUUGUCAACCAAUCACAUGCUAGAACGCCUGCACGGAUGGCACGCCCUUCUUUGUUCAAAGCCAAUGAGAAUGGAUGUGUGGCAUUUUGCCUGGGGGGGAAAACUUAGCCCUGGAUGUGUUAAUUACGCAUCACUUAACUGUUGCCAAUGUGUUCUCAACGGUGGAUCCUCUUUUGGGUUUUUUACAACUACUCUAUUUAUUUUCCGGUCCUUUUAUUAUGGAAGGCAGACAACAAUGGCUUACCAGGCUGAAGAAUGAGCUAAGCAACAGUCCACUGGUGUCAAACGUAGCUUUUGGCUUUAUCCUCAUGGGACUGGAAAAGCUGGUGGAGCUGGAGUUUGAGUGUCCUUGCGAUCCUACGUGGAACGGAGUGUUUUCGUCUGCCUUCUUCAUCAUCCCCGCCGUCAUGGCCUUCACCUUGAUGCUGAUCAUCCAGGGGUGCCGGUGCGAUACGUGGUGCAGGAACACCAUCUCCUUCUCCAGCUUUGUCCCCGCUGUCGUUUGGCUGAUUCUGCUGUUCUUGGACGGCCAAUACUUUGCCUGUGCGAUGACAUACUGGGAGGGAAGGUUUGUGAUCGUGGACAAGGCAGCGCCUCAGAAGUGGUGCGAGCCACUGAGCGACGGGGACAUCCCUCUUCAAGAGCUGAUGCUGCGCUCCCAGAACUUGUUUGUUUUCUCUCAGGUGAUAGGCAUAAUCCUUCUGAUAUUCAUCUGUGUGGGACUCAUCGUUUAUGUGGCGAGAGAGAGCUGUGAACAGGACCUGGAGAUGCAGGAGGCAGACGUAGCUGAGCUUACAGUACUUAGGAUGAGCUCACUGCGGACCAGGACUCCCUGAGAGCCGUGUGGUCGGCCGGACCAGCCAGUUCUCAUGGGGGCGAGAGCUAAACCUGGCUGGAAUGAACACUUACAGAGCACCAGGAAUAGACUUCACCGUUGGUCUCCAUUGUUUUGUCAAUCAGUGCCUUGUGUACAUUUGCGAAUAGUUAUUUCAUUGUUUCUUUCGUGUCUUAGUGCCUUAUUGUGUUUGUUUACUAUUAUGUGUGGGAAUUCUUUAAUGCACCAUUUGUUGUUGGACUAAAACUGCAAUACAGUCCUUUCUAACUACAACUUUUUUCUGACGUGGUUGUUCACUUAUAUUAUAUUAAGUGCAUUGUUAAGUGCACAUAUUUUAUUGUUCUAAAGAAACUAAAUGCCAGCCCCUUUUUUGUACCUUCGGUAAAACCAUGUAAUAUACGUUUUAAAAAAACUUGAACAAGGGAAAUUGGAUACAGGGAAACAGGAUAUUCUGUCGCCAGAAUAAGAGUUUUUUGCCUUUGUAUACGAAUAGCUGGCGGAUGGACUAAUGCUUUAAUGUAUAGGGAUCCCCGAGGCAGCUAGUGUUGAAAUGUGUUUGCCACUUCAUACAUUUUGGAGUGUCGCAGGCUGUAUAGUGAAAAUGUGUUGUCAAAGUAAAAUAUCACUUUUAAUAAUUCAGGGGCGCUCUCGGUCUGCUACAUGGAAGAAGACUCCUGACUGAAUCAUCCAAUGAUUCUCAUUCUGUCAGGUUUAUUAUGUAUAUACCAACUAGGAUUCAAAUAUAUAUGAUAAUGCCUACUGCAGUAUUUUUACAUAAAAUAUUGUUCAUGCAUUAUGUAGAAACUGUCAUUGAUUGUGGUUUGUAGCAAGAAAAUGUGACUUAAAAAGUACUGACAUUUGAUUUUGUAAUAAAGAAAU